GGAAAAACCAACGCAGUUUCCAUUUGGUUGAAAACCUUUGGGGGUCAUCUAAAGAACAAGUCUUUGUAUGCCUUGGGAUUAUGUUCAGAGUUUUAGUUAACGCGGGUGAUACUUUACUUUUUGGUUUAGAUUCAUGUGACUAUACCAAUAAACCUCGUGGGAAAGCUAUCCUUCAUCAUAAGGUCAAUAAUCUACCAGUAAAUUUGCUUCGUGUUGCAUACUCGAGCCAGAUCCAUGGUCAAAGCUCUUAUUCCUCUUAUGACUUGCCCAAGACUGCUGUGAUGACUCUCAACCAAGUUUCAAUUGUAAAAAGUCUGGACUUCCCUCUUUUUAUUUUUCUGUUAAUGGUUAGUUGGAACAAACUUCCAUUAUUGCCUUUUCCUAGAUGCUUUAGAAUUUUUAACUUGGUUGAUACUGAUAUGGUGCUGAUAUAAUGGUGAUAUUGGUGAUAUGGUACUGAUAUGUUGGGUGUCUUGAAAAAGUUGAUCAUCUCAUAUCAGGAAUUGGUUUAUGUUCUGCCUGAGGCACUGUCACAAUUUGUUUUCAUGAUUUCUUCUGUAAAUUUUUUAUUACAAGGGAAGAUUUUGGCUAAUGAAUGAGAGUCAUGUCAUUUGACAAAUGUUGUGUUGGCUAUGGUGAAGGUUGCAUUUGAUACUCUUGAUUUUGAGCUUCAUAGUGGAACUCAUCCUAGACUUGGAGUGGUGGAUCAUAUAUGUUUUCAUCCUUUGGUUGAUAUGUCGUUGGAUCAAGCGGCUAGGACUGCGAGGUGUUUAGCUACUGACAUGGGUUCUAAGCUACAAGGUUAGUAGUAGCACUUGCGACAAGUUUGAUACGUUGUUGUUUUGGCGAAUAUUAGAAUAACUCGCAUCAACUGCACAAGGCAAGUCGGCCACCAACCAGGAAACUUUCUGAUCGGAAGGCAUAUGCUUGUCAAAAGCACUCAGCUAUUAGUGCAUCAGCAGAUUUUCCUUGGUACUGAUUUAAGUACCAAUAA
Vicia villosa (hairy vetch) is the source of this 994-nucleotide long non-coding RNA. RefSeq lists it as uncharacterized. The record is from RefSeq and is a predicted model, not a curated record. NCBI's taxonomy places the organism in Eukaryota, Viridiplantae, Streptophyta, Magnoliopsida, Fabales, Fabaceae. The transcript is spliced from 3 exons.